GUUUUACUCGAUUGCCCUGAUUGUUGUGUUGUCUCCGUCGCGCCAUCUGCUCAGUUCUUUGGUUGCCACCGCAUCCAUUUUGGUAGUUGAGAGAGAGAGAGAGAGCGUACAGUUCCGUUCUGAUGAUCAAAAGUAACUGUUUAAAAAUCGAUCGUCAGAGAUAAAAGCAGCCAAGAGACUUGAUUUGCGUGGUUUAUCCAUCCUCUUCAGCUCUAAAGGAUUUUGGUCAAGUAGCGAGGAGACUUGAUUUUGGAGUUAACAUUCAGGUCAAGCUUUCAAGGAAGUUGCCUCCAGAAACAAGAUCUGAAACAGUGUCCUGCAUAUAUGUGUGCUUCGGGUGAGUUUUUUGUGGUACACCAGCUGACAGCAUUGUAACUACUGGGUUUUCAAAAGCACUAGAGUGAAUGAGAUUUUGCAUUGGGUUGGGGUAAUCACUCAGAGGAUCAUAUUAUUGCUAACUAGACUGAGUUGAGAGCAGUUAUUGGAAUCUCUUAGAUUGUUGUUGUUCUGGAAUUGAAGGCUUUAUAAUAGAAUCUAACAUGGAAAUGCCAUGAAAGAAUUGGAAGUUGCAUGUUGUAAUAGUACCAUGUUUGAAGAAAAGGCUCAGAAAAUAUCAGAAGCUGCUAUUUCCCUGCAGGAUGAAGCAGUAACUGAUGAUGGAUGAAAGUAAUGGUUAAGUAGUCAGAGAUAAGGUGGUAGUAGUGAUAAAGUAUACGUAUGUCAAAUUGAAAAUGAACUUGAUGAAGAAGAGUAUUUUGAAUUAACAAAGAAUAUACUGAGGCCAAGAACUUGGUUAGUUCGUAUCGGGAGGAAGCUGUCAAGGAAGUGGCUGAGAAGAUAGAGAGGAACUUGAUUCUUCUUGGUGCUAUUGCAGUUGAAGACAAACUUCAAAAUGGGGGACUCGGAACAUGCAAAGCUCAAAGCUGGGGUGGAGGUUUUACAGAGAUAUUGAGCUCUGAUCUUUUGAGCUUCAAUUCAUUGUUAUUUAGAUCUUGAAGCCAAUUACAUAGAUACAGAAUGCUAUAAACAACAGCUGAAAAUUGAUGGAUCUGCUGUUGAGUUGUCUCGUUGGAGAAGGGCAUUAUGCGCUCCUUAGACGAGCAGAGCUAAAAACAUUGGUGGAUCUGCAUGCGAAUGAGGCAGGGAAAGGUGGAGAGUUGCCACAUCAUGUAACUACGACUAUUGGUGGUGCUUUGGAUUUGACGCGGAAAACUGCUGAAGAUGUUUUGACUCCAAUGUCAGAAAAUUUUGCCCUUGACAUAAACUCCAAACUUCACCUGAAUACACUGGGUUCAAUAAUGAGCAGAGGUCACAGUCGUAUACCAAUAUAUUCAGGAAAUCUAAAUAAUAUCAUUGGCCACAUUUUGGCAAAAAAUUUGAUCUUCUGUCACCCAGAAGAUGAAACUCCAGUUAAGUACACGACAAUCAGAAGAAUUCCAAGUGCGUGAUCUGCUCACUGAAGGACUUACGGUGGAGGUGAUACUUUAUGGUGGUUCCAUUCAGCGUUUCAGAAGAAGGAUAAGGCGUUGCAGGAGCAAAAUAAUUUGCUGACAAAAAAAGGUGAAGGAGAAGGAGAAAACAGUAGCCAGCAGUGCCCCACAGGCACAGGCACAAUGGGAGUAGCUGUAGAGGCACAGCUUGGACUCCUCCUCUAGCAGGACCCUUCUACCUUAGGCAUUGCACUCCUUGAAUUUCGGGUACGUGCUACUAUGUUUGGUUUUGCCUGGAUCAGUUUUUUUGUCCAGUAUAUAGUUGUGAACUCAUCCAUUUUUUAUCUUUUAAUACAGUUUAUGAUAAUUUUAUCUGAUUCACAGUUGGAUACUGAUCUAAUUCAGUUACAUCUUAAAGGUCAACUUAAAGUGGGUAAGUUUAAGCUUGCUGGUUUGUGCUGGUUUUGGGUGAAAUAGAAUAAAAGUCUUGCUUCUCUUUCUCUAAUUAUUAAUCAUGAUGAACUUAGUAGCUUCAAAUUUUUUGUUUUGUUGUCUGCUUUGCUAAGGUAGAAGGCUGUCGUUUUUGUCAAUGCUUUUGUUAGUUCUUUCACUACAGAUUUGUUUUAUUGCUUUAACAAAUCAAAGAAUUGAAAGUGGUUCUGUACCGGGAUUAUUAUGACACUGGGGAUGAUGUGAAGGGGAUGCAUGGCACAACGUUGAUAGGCCGUUUCCGUGAUGCUUGGGAAGAAUGGUCAACCGCUUUGAUAUGAGUGAUGGGGUUUCUAGAAACAAGCUACUCACGAAUAAACCACCUUGAUGGUAAUUUCUUUGGUAAUUCAGUAAUAAUUUAGAUACAUUAUAUGUCAAAAGUUUAGGAGAACAAACUGAGUUGUUCUCUAACUUGAAGCUUAUUGUUUGUAAAAGGAUGAAAGCACUAGGCUAAGGCUAAGAAUUUGUGGGGAUUGAGGAAGAGGAAGAGGUUGAACAAUCAGCAGUAUGACGAUUGCAAGAAAAAAAAGGAGAAGAGCUAGAGCCAGAGGAGGAUCUCUGCUCUGAUACCAUAAAAGGAUUUAUAGAAUUUGCUGUGUAUUCUUCUCAUUGUGAGGAAAGCAUUAUAUACACAAAGGAUUACUAAAUUACAGCUAUCUAGAUCCUCUGUCUAAGCUAUCUAGAUCCUUAGUCUAAGCAAUUACAAUGAGUUAGCUAAUUAGAUCUUUAAUCUAGGCAAUUACAUAAUGAAGAGGAAGCUAAGAUCAAGCAAUUACAAAAUACAAUGAAUCUGGACAGAGAUGGUUAAUUAGGGGAUUUAGCAGUUUGUUUUGAUCCGAUUCUAAGGCAGUUGCAAUUUCGUAGGAAUUGGAUACGAAAACCCAUUUUCAAAAGAUGAAAGAAAUGCAUAAAAUGAAAUUAACUUCAAACACUAUAUUGUUAAUCUUUACAUCAUUCCAUGUCUGCUUGCUCGAAUCAAGGGGUGUAAAUUGAACUUCUAUAAGGCCAGUCUACAUCUUUGGACCAUUGAACUACAAUCCUAUUGAAGAGUGGUUCUUCCACUGGUUGAAAGCUGCCUGCCCAAUUCCAGUUCCAUACUCGGGAAUACAAUUAACACAACUCGGUCAUGUUAAGGAUUUAGCUACUGCAUUUAUUAGGUUACAUGUCUCUGACUCUUCAGCUCUGACCCUUCAGCCAAAAACAAAAGACUGGGUUCAGCUAAGAAGAAGUUCUCCUGAUUCAGAUAAGGACAUCAACUCUAUUGAAAUCAGACAUGCUGGGUCUCCGCAGAUAAGUUCCUGUAACUCAGAGACCAAAGAAUCUAAUGACUGACUUGAUGUUGAUGACAUUGAUGUUAUAUGAUGACUACAUAAGAACCCUAUUGUGAAAGAUCAAUGUGGUUUAGACAAUGUGGCAUAUUCGUUUCAUUCAUCCCUUAUUGUGAAGAUUGUGAAAGGUUUUUAGUCCGAAUUAAUUUUUUAUUUUUUUUUUGAAAAUGAGGCUGGUGCGGCUGCCCUCAAACCUUGAUUAAUUUAGGGGGACUAUGAUUGUACAUGUGGUUUAAUACGGGAUUAUUAAAUACUGGCUUAUUGUUUCUUAUGCAAGGAGAUAUGUGUGUGUAGUGAUUACAGCACCAAGCAAUAAUUUUGUUCUAUUGAUUUCAUAGAAGUUUGUACAUUUAAGUUUA
Molecule: long non-coding RNA, 3606 nt
Organism: Rosa rugosa (rugosa rose)
Lineage: Eukaryota; Viridiplantae; Streptophyta; Magnoliopsida; Rosales; Rosaceae
Exons: 13
Source: RefSeq, a predicted model, not a curated record